AUAUUAAAAUUCAUGGGGUUUUUUUUAUAAAAGAAUCCAAGAAAGCCAUAGCACUUGUUUGAGGAAAAAACUAAACAAAACCAAAACAACCCACAAAACAUUCCAAAGUGAGAGCUGACAGCAAAACAUUUGGGAAUUACAGAUUUACAAGCUCAUCAAGCAGAGUUACAGUGAAAUCUUAAGAGAGUCAGGAGAGGACACCAUCCUCUACCACGUGAGACCAUCCAGAGACAUGUCCCCAGGAGCUUUGCAGUUCAGUUUUGUGACCUGGGUACCACCUGCUUUGAUGCAAGGGUCCUUCCAGCUCCUCAGCCACCGACUGUCUGAUCAAGUGUUUCCAUAGAAAGCUGUUGAUGUGAAGAGUCACCAAUUCAUUUUUCAUUUUGAGCACAAGUCCAUGGCUUUUUUACAAGCAGAAUAUUUGACCAAUAAGUAGUAGUAUUUUCAGGUUUACCUAUUGCAAAUACAAGCUGUAAAAAUCAAUAAGCAAUUUAUGAUUCAAGUAUUUAGACUCCCAAAUGUCAAAAGCUGUAUUCCCUUCUCUCUGAAGAACUGAGCUAAGAGAUAAAAUUCUUGCCUGGACAAAAUUUGGUCUAAUUGUCCCCAACCUCCUGCUUCCACCCUGCUCCAGAACAAGAACAGAAGAAAUUCAUUAUCAUCAGAGCUGAAACUACUACCCGCAUGUUGAAAUGAGUGUGCUGGAAGAGCACAAGCUUUCCACUUGACUUCUGAUCAUCACACUUCUUCAGAUCUGAAGCAUCGAUGUUCCUGUAUGCACUGAGAAAUCAAGCAGGUGAGUAUCAGUGCAGUUAGACCCCCUUCAUAUUCCUACCCACCAGUGAACACACUGCAUCUAUUACAAAUACGUUACUGAGUGGCACACCAAAGCAGUCACACCAAGGGUCUGCAUUCAUCAUUGAAAGCUUUCUGGACCUGUUGCACUUCAUCUAUCUAGAAGCAAAGAACGUAUUUAGCAGGAAACAUCACCAUGUUUUCAUUCCCCAUGGUUACAGUC
This 1015-nucleotide long non-coding RNA is filed under the name Strigops habroptila (Kakapo). RNAcentral's name for it is "lncRNA (ENSSHBG00005016646.1)". Lineage: Eukaryota; Metazoa; Chordata; Aves; Psittaciformes; Psittacidae. The record is from RNAcentral.